RNAcentral lists this long non-coding RNA (1567 nucleotides) under Serinus canaria (Common canary). RNAcentral's name for it is "lncRNA (ENSSCAG00000006808.1)". Lineage: Eukaryota; Metazoa; Chordata; Aves; Passeriformes; Fringillidae. The record is from RNAcentral.
GCUAUGUAGAGUGGCGCUCACGGCCGCGCUUGGCGUAGUAAGUUUCCAGUGCGUGCUGACCCAAUGAGUGUAGGGGGAGGCAGCGGAGGCCCGGUGCGCUGACCUAGAUUGCAUACGGCAUUGCUGGAGGCUAGGGACCGGCCGGGCAGUGCGGGUGUCCCUGGACCNNNNNNNNNNNNNNNNNNNNGGCGGCGAGUAGGGUGGCUUUUCGCUGAGUGCGGGGGCACCCGGCGGGGCGGGCCCAGUUGCACAGGGUUUCCAGGCCAGGGACCACGUGGGUCUACAUUAGCAGUAGUGGGCCGUGGGGCGCCCGGUGCGGUGACUUUCAGCGGUGCCGACCCGACUCAAGAGCUGUCUGUUGUGUGGAGGUCUUGGGGGCCCACACGGGUGGCUUUCAGCAGUUGCUCCGCACUAGUAAACCGGGAGGCAGCAGAGAACCAGAACAUGGCAGCGAGCAGCAGAGCCUACCCAGUAGUACAAAAGUCACUGAAUCGCAAGCAGGCUUUCCUCCCACAGCCAGGAACAAACACUCUAAGAGUGGCAGAGCUACAGGGGGUCAUGGCAUGAANGGUCAUGGCAUGAAACUGUGAGAUGGACACAAUUUCAGAUCUGUACCUGCAUCAGGGACCUGUUGUGCCAGGCAUUUGCUGCAUAGUCUCCUGCUGCCUCCUGGUCCAGUGGUUGCAGGCAAGUCUUGCCUUGUGUGUAAUUAAUUAGUCAGCACUUGUGGCAGAGUGAGAAGGAAAGUCAAGAGCUGUCAGCACGUGGGUGUACUUCCUCCUUCUGGCAGAAAUACUCAAAGAAGAGGAGAAAGAAAUGGGAGAUUUUCCCGGUUUGUGUCUGCACAUUUGCAGAGUCCUAGUGCAGUGACAUUUUCCCUUUGUUUGUAGCUUUCCCUGUUGUUUUAGAGUUGAGGGUGUAGCUUGCUCCUGCCAGACCCUUUUUGUAGUUUGUAGCCCCCUCUCCCCAGUGGUUUGAUGCCUUCUUCAUCACUCAACUCAUCUGUCAUGUUCUUUUCCUUCCCUGAAGCUUUUCCUGCUUCCCUACAACAUUGCCAAGUGCUGGAAAGAGGAAGAACGGCCUCCAACAAAACCCUGUACCUGUAAUGAACACUGGCAAAGUACUACUUCUCUUUCAGGUUAAGAGAAGAGCUCAAGUGUUAAAGGCUUAGAUGCAUGACACAGAUACCUUUCCCUCCUUCAUUUUGAGAUGACAGGCCUGUCUGUUCCAACCCCAAAGGCACAGAAGGUACUCUUUAAACUGUACCACAACAUCCCACCCACACUCCCCUCUCCUAUCCCCAUCCUCACCAUGACAUGAGAGACCCACAGAGGCAUCAGGGCCAGGAGAGCUCUGAAGGAGUGCUGUACAUGUGUGAACCACUGUGCACAGCUCUGUGCUUGUGAGUAUGCACAAGUUCUGCAAGUGUAAACAUAGCUCUGUGUGAGACAUAUAUUAAUAUGUAUAGCACUGCAUACAUUGGUGUGCUCAAACUCUACGUACAAGCAAGUCUUGUGCUUGUAGGCACAUGUGCAUCAGUAGAGACUACAUAAGUGAGUGUAUAACA